RNAcentral lists this non-coding RNA (28 nucleotides) under Rattus norvegicus (Norway rat). Lineage: Eukaryota; Metazoa; Chordata; Mammalia; Rodentia; Muridae. The record is from RNAcentral.
UAACAAGAGACAGACCUGGACCUGGAAA